CUCUUGACGUUAGCGGCGGACGGGUGAGUAACACGUGGGUAACCUACCUAUAAGACUGGGAUAACUUCGGGAAACCGGAGCUAAUACCGGAUAAUAUUUCGAACCGCAUGGUUCGAUAGUGAAAGGUGGUUUUGCUAUCACUUAUAGAUGGACCCGCGCCGUAUUAGCUAGUUGGUAAGGUAACGGCUUACCAAGGCGACGAUACGUAGCCGACCUGAGAGGGUGAUCGGCCACACUGGAACUGAGACACGGUCCAGACUCCUACGGGAGGCAGCAGUC
This 279-nucleotide ribosomal RNA is filed under the name uncultured Staphylococcus sp. Its description in RNAcentral is "partial 16S ribosomal RNA". It matches the Rfam family "Bacterial small subunit ribosomal RNA", at positions 83 to 355 of the family's 1533-position model. Lineage: Bacteria; Bacillati; Bacillota; Bacilli; Caryophanales; Staphylococcaceae. The record is from RNAcentral.